UUGGGUUAAGUCCGCAACGAGCGCAACCCUUAUCAUUAGUUGCUACCAUUUAGUUGAGAACUCUAAUGAGACUGCCGGUGAUAAACCGGAGGAAGCGGGACGACGUCAAGUCAUCAUGGCCCUUAUGGGAUGGGCUACACACGUGCUACAAUGGGGAGUACAAAGAGCAGCCAACUGGCGACAGUGCGCGAAUCUCAAAAAACUUCUCGUAGUCCGGAUUGGAGUCUGCAACUCGACUCCAUGAAGUCGGAAUCGCUAGUAAUCGCGAAUCAGAAUGUCGCGGUGAAUACGUUCCCGGGCCUU
This 303-nucleotide ribosomal RNA is filed under the name uncultured Thiomicrospira sp. Its description in RNAcentral is "bacterial SSU rRNA". It matches the Rfam family "Bacterial small subunit ribosomal RNA", at positions 1075 to 1382 of the family's 1533-position model. Lineage: Bacteria; Pseudomonadati; Pseudomonadota; Gammaproteobacteria; Thiotrichales; Piscirickettsiaceae. The record is from RNAcentral.